RNAcentral lists this ribosomal RNA (457 nucleotides) under uncultured bacterium. RNAcentral describes it as "bacterial SSU rRNA". It matches the Rfam family "Bacterial small subunit ribosomal RNA", at positions 29 to 506 of the family's 1533-position model. The record is from RNAcentral.
AUGAACGUUGGCGGUGUGCCUAAUACAUGCAAGUCGAACGGAGAUUGUAGCAAUACGGUCUCAGUGGCGAACGGGUGAGUAACGCGUUGGUGAUCUGCCUCGAAGUGGGGAAUAACGAUUCGAAAGAAUCGCUAAUACCGCAUAGUCUCUCGGUGUUUAGAAAGCUGAGAGUAAAGGAUUUAUUCGCUUUGAGAGGAGCCUGCGUCCCAUCAGCUAGUUGGUAAGGUAAUGGCCUACCAAGGCGAUGACGGGUAGGGGACCUGAGAGGGUGGCCCGCCACAAUGGAACUGAAACACGGUCCAUACACCUACGGGUGGCAGCAGUAGGGAAUAUUAGAAAUUGACGAAAGUCUGAUCUAGCAACACCGCGUGUGCGAUGAAGGCCUUCGGGUUGUAAAGCACUUUUUGGAAUGAUUAGGAAGGAAGGUACUUCCAGAAUAAGUCUCGGCUAACUACGU